Molecule: small nuclear RNA, 102 nt
Organism: Delphinapterus leucas (beluga whale)
Lineage: Eukaryota; Metazoa; Chordata; Mammalia; Artiodactyla; Monodontidae
Source: Ensembl
CAGCAAGCUACAGUGCUGGACUAAAAUUGGAGUGAUACAGAGAAGAUUAGUAUGGCCCCUGUGUAAGGAUGACACGCAAAUUCGUGAGCGUUCCAUAUUUUU